AACUUCACUGAAAACAUCUGGGACGGCAGGGGGUCCCAGAGGAGAAACACUGCUCUAACUGUAGACCGAAACUAUGUUUUGGUAUUUGUGUCAUGAGUCCAUUGUUGAUUUAGUCCUAAAAUGUUUUGCAUGUCAGCAAUCAAGUUUAAGACUUAUAACUUUCAAAAUACAGAAAAACAGCCAGUAUGAUGCAUUUAGCAUCAAAACACACAGUAGCAUCAUAUGAGGCUAAACACACAGUAGCAUCAUAUGAGGCUAAACAUACAGUAGCAUCAUAUGAGGCUAAACACACAGUAGCAUCAUAUGAGGCUAAACACACAGUAGCAUCAUAUGAGGCUAAACACACAGUAGCAUCAUAUGAGGCUAAACAUACAGUAGCAUCAUAUGAGGCUAAACAUACAGUAGCAUCAUAUGAGGCUAAAUGCUUCAUACUGCCUGUAUUUCUGUAUUUUGACUACAUCAACAAUGGACUACUGAAACAAAUAUGUUAGUGUGUUAAGAGUCACAGCCUCUCAACUAACCAAUUAGCACGUGUGUUAGAGUGACAGCCUCUCAACUCACUCAGCAGACCACCAUUAACCAAUCAGCACAUGUGUUUGGAGGAUUGGGGUGCCAUAGUAAUGUACCUGUCUAAAAGGUGAGCUUCCUUCAUGAAAUAUUGAUGGGAGACUGUAAAUAUGUAAAGGCUCUGCAUGGUCAAUAUGUUGUAAAGGCUCUGCAUGGUCAAUAUGUUGUAAAGGCUCUGCAUGGUCAAUAUGUUGUAAAGGCUCUGCAUGGUCAAUAUGUUGUAAAGGCUCUAUGUCAAUAUGUUGUAAAGGCUCUGCAUGGUCAAUAUGUCUUAAAGGCUCUGCAUGGUCAAUAUGUCUUAAAGGCUCUGCAUGGUCAACAAUAUGUCUUAAAGGCUCUGCAUGGUCAAUAUGUUGUAAAGGCUCUGCAUGGUCAAUAUGUUGUAAAGGCUCUGCAUGGUCAAUAUGUCUUAAAGGCUCUGCAUGGUCAAUAUGUCUUAAAGGCUCUGCAUGGUCAAUAUGUUGUAAAGGCUCUGCAUGGUCAAUAUGUCUUAAAGGCUCUGCAUGGUCAAUAUGUUGU
Molecule: long non-coding RNA, 1086 nt
Organism: Oncorhynchus tshawytscha (Chinook salmon)
Lineage: Eukaryota; Metazoa; Chordata; Actinopteri; Salmoniformes; Salmonidae
Source: Ensembl